This 457-nucleotide ribosomal RNA is filed under the name uncultured bacterium. Its description in RNAcentral is "bacterial SSU rRNA". It matches the Rfam family "Bacterial small subunit ribosomal RNA", at positions 30 to 504 of the family's 1533-position model. The record is from RNAcentral.
UGAACGCUGGCGGCAUGGCUAAAGCAUGCAAGUCGAACGCGAAAUCUCGAUUUAUCGGGAGAGUAGAGUGGCGAAAGGGCGAGUAAUGAAUUCCUAACGUACCCCAGAGUCGGGGAUAGCCCGGGGAAACCCGGAUUAACACCUGAUGAUCCCGUUCGGUCUCGUGACCAUUCGGGCAAAGUUUACGCUCUGGGAUCGGGGAAUUUCCUAUCAGGUUGUUGGUGAGGUAAAGGCUCACCAAGCCAAAGACGGGUAGCGGGUGUGAGAGCAUGACCCGCCGCAUCGGGACUGAGACACUGCCCGGACUCCUACGGGAGGCUGCAGCAACGAAUAUUGGACAAUGAGCGCAAGCUUGAUCCAGCGAUGCCGCGUGUGGGAUGAAUCUUUUCGGAGUGUAAACCACUGUCAGGGGCUAGAAACACAAUGAUCAGCCCCAGAGGAAGGGCCGGCUAACUUC